CGCCUCUUGUGAAUCAUAAGAGGUCCAGCCUGCCCAGUGACCUUGUUCAACGGCCGCGGUAUCCUAACCGUGCGAAGGUAGCGUAAUCAUUUGUCCUUUAAAUGCGGACUAGUAUGAAUGGCACCACGAAGGUUGCACUGUCUCCUCCCUCUAAUCAGUGAAACUAAUUUCCUCGUGAAGAAGCGAGGAUGCCUCUAUAAGACGAGAAGACCCUAUGGAGCUUUAAACAAAGCAACAUUUGCUAUUAAACAUCAAUUUAAGAAGAUUAACAUAUAUGCUAACAUAAUGACUGCCAGUUUUAGGUUGGGGCGACCGCGGAGCAAAAAUUAACCUCCACGUUGAAACGGGGCUUCCUUUAAGCAAAAAUCCACAACUUUAUGCAUCAAUAAAUUGACAUUAAUUGACCCAAUAUUUUGAUCAACGAACCAAGUUACCCUAGGGAUAACAGCGCAAUCCAUUUCAAGAGCCCCUAUCGACAAAUGGGUUUACGACCUCGAUGUUGGAUCAGGACAUCCUAAUGGUGCAGCCGCCAUUAAAGGUUCGUUUGUUCAACGAUUAAAGUCCU
RNAcentral lists this ribosomal RNA (565 nucleotides) under Gastrotheca longipes (Pastaza marsupial frog). RNAcentral describes it as "partial large subunit ribosomal RNA". It matches the Rfam family "Bacterial large subunit ribosomal RNA", at positions 1829 to 2597 of the family's 2925-position model. Lineage: Eukaryota; Metazoa; Chordata; Amphibia; Anura; Hemiphractidae. The record is from RNAcentral.